GUCAGCAUGGUGUAGUGGUUUGAGUGUUGGGCUAUGACUCUGGAGACAAGAGUUCAAAUCCCUAUUCUGCCA
Molecule: non-coding RNA, 72 nt
Organism: Phrynosoma platyrhinos (Desert horned lizard)
Lineage: Eukaryota; Metazoa; Chordata; Lepidosauria; Squamata; Phrynosomatidae
Source: the annotation of a GenBank genome assembly